This 2051-nucleotide long non-coding RNA is filed under the name Gossypium barbadense (sea-island cotton). RNAcentral's name for it is "long non-coding RNA (GBAR_LNC019019)". Lineage: Eukaryota; Viridiplantae; Streptophyta; Magnoliopsida; Malvales; Malvaceae. The record is from RNAcentral.
GCGCAUAUGAAUACACCAUUUUAGCCAUAUCCAGAAAUCUAUACAAUUUAUAUAAUUUAAAAAUAUAAAAUCGAAUAUUAAGUCUACUUGCAUAAACAAAUUGUACCUUUAUUAAAUACUCCACAUUCCUAAUUUAUUUCAUAACAAAUUGGCAUCCAUAAAUAACCUCAUAACCAAGAUUAAUUAAGCUUGAAUAUCAUUUACCUCAUUAUCGAAGUACAUGACUAAAACACCAUAACAUAUAUAUACCAAACUCAUUUCACUUAUAUGCUUUAACUAAGUUCACCUAUGCCAAAUUACCAAAAUCAACAUAUCUAUCACUUGAUCAAAAGCAUAAAAACCAUGCUUAACAAAAUAAAUAAGCCAUUUUCGCAUGGCUCAUAUUUACAACCCAAAAAUCAAACAUAUUAACUAGACUAUACAUGCCAUAAGUUUAAAUUCAAACUUAGUAUAAUACCGAAAAUAGUCGAUAGUGUGAUAGACUUCUCUGACGAUUCUCGUGCGCUUAACCAACUUCCAAAUCUAUAAAAUUGAAAGCAAUUACACACAGUAAGCUAUUAAAGCUUAGUAAGUCAUAAGCAAAUAAACAUUUAAUCAUUUACGUAAAUUAAGCUAGAAAAUUAGUAAUAAAUCAUUAUAAUUUCACAUAUAAUUCAAUUUAUCAACUUAUAUAUCAAAACUUAUAUAAUUUGUAAUAACUUCCCUUUUUACCGAAUAAUCAAUUGAACAUUAAUAUAACCAAUCAUCACUUUCCUCAAUGCACAUAUACAUCAAAGGUCGAAUACAUAUAUAUUCAAAUAUGCAAUCACAUAAUUCAUAUUUCACAUAACUUCAUAUCAUCAAUUCAAGUAUACAACUUACCUUAUUUUCAAAUAGGUAAUCAACUAUCACAUACCUGGUCACUUAGCCUGAUUUAUACAUUCAUACACAACUUAUCUUUGCCCGUUGAACCAUUCGGAAUUAAAAAGGAUACUCGGAUAGUCGGAAGACUCGUACAAUGCCAACGUCCCAGACGUGGUCUUACAUGUAAUCACAUAUCGAUGCCACUGUCCCAGACAGGGUCUUGCACAAAUCAAAUACGAUGCCAAUGUCCCAGACAUGGUCUUACACAUAAACACAAGUCGAUGCCAACGUCCUAGACGUGGUCUUACACGAAAACACAUAUCAAAAACCUUUGUCAUGACAUAUGUAUCCUAACUAUUCCUAAGGCUCAUACGGGAAUUUCGGACGUCGUAACUCAGUCGAAGCGAAUUCAUAAACAUAACUGCCAAGCUUGUACACAUUCGGCUAAUACAUAUAUUUAUUCACAUAUUCACUUCAGCACAUAUAAUUCACAUUUAAUUAAAAUUAACAACGUCUAUUUGCUUAUAAACUUACCUCGGAUAUCGACGGACGGAAUAGACGACUAUUCGAUUAUUUUUGUUUUUCCCCGAUCCAAAUCUGUUUUCUUUGGUUCAUGAUCUAAACAUAUUCAAAUUAAACUUAUUUAAACAUAAUUCCAUUCAAUUUAAUCCAAAAACACAUAAAUGAGAAAUUUACUAUUUUGCUCCUGACAUUUUACACUUUUUACAAUUUCGUCCCUAUUGCAUAAAACACAAAAUACACAAAAUUUCAUAAUACCCAUGCUUGGCCGAAUAUCACUCUAGCUCAUCUAAGUCCAUACAUUUAAUUUAUUUCACAUUUUAGUCCCUCAAAAAUUUAUUUUCACAAUUUAAUCCAAUUUACUCAAAUUCAUCAAAAAUCCAAAGACAAAACAUGAUAAUUUAACACAUAUAUUUAAUAUUUCAUCAUCAAACAACAAAAAUCUCAAACAUUCAUCAAUGGCACAUUUCAAAAUCACCAUCAAUUCACAAAAUUAAGGCAUGGGUUUUGAAGAACUCGAAGCAACGAUCUCAAAAACAUAAAAAUUAUCAAAAACUAAAGUAAAACAUACCUUGAAUCAAGCUAAAUAAUGCCGAAACCUAAAGAAAGCAUGGAUGAUUUCUUUCUUUUCUCCAUUCGGCCAACAAAGAUGAAAAAUAGCCAUCUUUUAUGUUUUAUUUUAUUAUAAC